GCCUCCGUAGCUCAGUGGAUAGAGCAACGGUUUCCUAAACCGCAGGUCGCAGGUUCGAUUCCUGCCGGGGGCG
RNAcentral lists this transfer RNA (73 nucleotides) under Ilumatobacteraceae bacterium. Its description in RNAcentral is "tRNA-Arg". It matches the Rfam family "tRNA". Rfam says of the family: Transfer RNA (tRNA) molecules are approximately 80 nucleotides in length. Their secondary structure includes four short double-helical elements and three loops (D, anti-codon, and T loops). The record is from RNAcentral. Lineage: Bacteria; Bacillati; Actinomycetota; Acidimicrobiia; Acidimicrobiales; Ilumatobacteraceae. RNAcentral also lists the same sequence under 1 other name.